This 333-nucleotide ribosomal RNA is filed under the name Clostridium haemolyticum. Its description in RNAcentral is "bacterial LSU rRNA". It matches the Rfam family "Bacterial large subunit ribosomal RNA", at positions 2596 to 2925 of the family's 2925-position model. Lineage: Bacteria; Bacillati; Bacillota; Clostridia; Eubacteriales; Clostridiaceae. The record is from RNAcentral.
GCACGCGAGCUGGGUUCAGAACGUCGUGAGACAGUUCGGUCCCUAUCCGCCGUGGGCGUAGGAAAUUUGAGAGGAGCUGUCCUUAGUACGAGAGGACCGGGAUGGACCAACCUCUGGUGCACCAGUUGUUCCGCCAGGAGCACAGCUGGGUAGCUAUGUUGGGAAGGGAUAAACGCUGAAAGCAUCUAAGCGUGAAGCCCACCUCAAGAUUAGAUUUCCCAUAGCGUAAGCUAGUAAGACCCCUGAAAGACUAUCAGGUUGAUAGGUUGGAGGUGUAAGUACAGUAAUGUAUUCAGCUGACCAAUACUAAUAGGUCGAGGGCUUGAUCAAAUA